UAAAACGACUCUCGGCAACGGAUAUCUCGGCUCUCGCAUCGAUGAAGAACGUAGCGAAAUGCGAUACUUGGUGUGAAUUGCAGAAUCCCGUGAACCAUCGAGUCUUUGAACGCAAGUUGCGCCCGAAGCCUUCUGGCCGAGGGCACGUCUGCCUGGGCGUCACGC
Molecule: ribosomal RNA, 165 nt
Filed under: Halocnemum strobilaceum
Lineage: Eukaryota; Viridiplantae; Streptophyta; Magnoliopsida; Caryophyllales; Amaranthaceae
Description: 5.8S ribosomal RNA
Rfam family: 5.8S ribosomal RNA
About the family: 5.8S ribosomal RNA (5.8S rRNA) is a component of the large subunit of the eukaryotic ribosome. It is transcribed by RNA polymerase I as part of the 45S precursor that also contains 18S and 28S rRNA. Functionally, it is thought that 5.8S rRNA may be involved in ribosome translocation.
Source: RNAcentral